UACGGAGGGUGCGAGCGUUGUCCGGAAUCACUGGGCGUAAAGCGCACGUAGGCGGCUUGUUAAGUCAGGGGUGAAAUCCUGGAGCUCAACUCCAGAACUGCCUUUGAUACUGGCGAGCUUGAGUCCGGGAGAGGUGAGUGGAACUCCGAGUGUAGAGGUGAAAUUCGUAGAUAUUCGGAAGAACACCAGUGGCGAAGGCGGCUCACUGGCCCGGUACUGACGCUGAGGUGCGAAAGCGUGGGGAGCAAACAGG
RNAcentral lists this ribosomal RNA (253 nucleotides) under uncultured bacterium. RNAcentral's name for it is "partial 16S ribosomal RNA". It matches the Rfam family "Bacterial small subunit ribosomal RNA", at positions 524 to 776 of the family's 1533-position model. The record is from RNAcentral.